UUUGUGGAGAGUUUGAUCCUGGCUCAGGAUGAACGCUGGCGGCGUGCUUAACACAUGCAAGUCGAACGGAAAGGCUCCUGCUUGCAGGGGUACUCGAGUGGCGAACGGGUGAGUAACACGUGGGUGAUCUGCCCCGCACUUCGGGAUAAGCCUGGGA
This 157-nucleotide ribosomal RNA is filed under the name Corynebacterium coyleae. RNAcentral's name for it is "partial 16S ribosomal RNA". It matches the Rfam family "Bacterial small subunit ribosomal RNA", at positions 1 to 154 of the family's 1533-position model. Lineage: Bacteria; Bacillati; Actinomycetota; Actinomycetes; Mycobacteriales; Corynebacteriaceae. The record is from RNAcentral.